GCCAAGUAAGACCUGAACAGUUACACCUGCCAGUGCUACAUUCCUUCGGGAGCAAGAUGUGAUGGUGAUGCGUCAAUGCCUUGUGUGAGACAGCACUGGAGAGCUGGCAUCUCUUCGUCCAGCAGCUCAGAUCUGAAGGCGAUGGAGGAAGGAAGGAAGUGGGUGCAGAGAGUGUGACAUGAAAUCCAUGCUUGAAGAUUCAUUGUGGCUACAAAAUCAGGAGCAGCAGUGAACUGCCGGAGCUUGCCAAGUUAUCCAGAGCCUUCCCAACUCUUUGUUCAGUGCUGCAGAAUUCAGAUCUUCUGAGGAUGAGAGACAGCAACAUGGAAGUGGGAUUACAAACCUGAUUUUUGGUAGCAGUGAAGUGAAUUUGACAGGAUUCAAUACCAUUGGGCAACAAGCAGCACGAGAAAGGAUCUUAGAGAUGUUGUGUAUGCCUCUGGAUAGCAAGAUGCUACUGGACUCCUCACGAGAUGGAACAUCCAGGCAACAGCCUGGAGGCAACUUCCUUGUGAGCAAAAGCCUGUACAAGGAGAGGCAUUAGCCUUUUUUGGUAACAAGAGCAAAUACUUCAGUGUAAGGCUCCAAGUUCAAAGGUCUGGAACUUAUCUUUUCCACACAAUUGCUUUCUCACAGGCUUUCCAUUCAAAUAUCAGACAAGGAGGCAGUACAAAUGGCACCUGCUGUGUGAAAUAGGAUGUGACCAAAGAGGAACCUUGUAUAGGGAUUACACCUAAGCAAUUUAUACACAACUCAGUACCAUAGUGAAAGUGUGAUCCAUCCUGGAGGCAUUGCUGUGGUGCAGCACUAAGAAUGUCGUGAUGUAAGGCAUCAAGAUGGCACACUUGUGAGCAGUGUUCUCCUACCAUACUCCAAAGGUGAACAUGCGUUUGUCAGUGUGCCUCACUGAGUGGUACUGACCCAUCAAAGAGCCUAAGUGGGAAUGAAAGAGGCUUUAGGCUUUUCAUUUGGGCAGAGCCCAAGAGGCUGCAAGGUACUCUCAAUUCCAGAGCUGUCCCAUAAAUGAUAGUAUAGGACACGGUUCUUUCCUGUCUCCUUAAAGCAUGAAUAAAACAUCACAGAGGGCCCGCAGAAAGGAAUGUGUCUCUGUGACAGCAGCAUCCUGAUGACACACUUGAAAAUGCUUGUUUUGCACAGGGCUUAAUCCAUCUAUGCGAUUUAGCACUACAAGCUAUUUUGGUGGCUUUAGGCUUUGCAGAUUUCAAAGCAGGAUAGUGCUCCUACAGACAUAAUAAGAACACCUUCAUCUGCAUUACGUCAGACAAGAAGAAAACACAGGAAGAAUGUUGAUGCAUGCAGAAAAGGUGAGGCCUCUGGAAGGUGAGCCAGCUCUGCCCUAUACUGAGAGCAAGGAGAGCCAACCCCUGGUGCAUGAGUGUAAUGGAUGUGUAAGGAAUGCCUGUCAGCUGUAAGCUGGCCAUCACUGUUUGGUGCUGGGUAAAACCUACAGUGUGCUAUCACACCAUUAGGGAAGGAUUUCUUCACCUUCCUCCAGCAUUUGACCCUAGCUGUUAUCCGGGAUACUCUGUGAUUAAGACAGAAAUUGCACGAAAUGCCACAGCAAAGGUAUGUGUGCAAGCAAAACAGAAAUUAAACCCAAACUUUUCCUGCACCCACUCCGAAAUAAACUGAAGAACAAGUAGAGAAGGCAAAACAUGCCGUGAUUUUUAUGUUGCUCAUCUCCCCGUCAUAAAGUCCCUCCAAAGGAACUGUUUUUCUCAAACCCACCCCGCGCUUUCCCCAUCCCUACCUCGUCCUUCCUCACCACACCUCCAGGCCGGCAGGGGGCGCCCCACAGCCCAGCCCCGCACCCCAAAUCAGCCGCAGCCGUUCUCCUGAGUACAGCGGCGCUGA
Meleagris gallopavo (turkey) is the source of this 1875-nucleotide long non-coding RNA. RefSeq lists it as uncharacterized. NCBI's taxonomy places the organism in Eukaryota, Metazoa, Chordata, Aves, Galliformes, Phasianidae. The record is from RefSeq and is a predicted model, not a curated record.